ACGCACGCUGGCGGCGUGCCUAAUACAUGCACGUAGAACGCUGAAGGAGGAGCUUGCUCUUCUGGAUGAGUUGCGAACGGGUGAGUAACGCGUAGGUAACCUGCCUGGUAGCGGGGGAUAACUAUUGGAAACGAUAGCUAAUACCGCAUAACAGUAGAUGUUGCAUGACAUUUGCUUAAAAGGUGCAAUUGCACCACUACCAGAUGGACCUGCGUUGUAUUAGCUAGUUGGUGGGGUAACGGCUCACCAAGGCGACGAUACAUAGCCGACCUGAGAGGGUGAUCGGCCACACUGGGACUGAGACACGGCCCAGACUCCUACGGGAGGCAGCAGUAGGGAAUCUUCGGCAAUGGACGGAAGUCUGACCGAGCAACGCCGCGUGAGUGAAGAAGGUUUUCGGAUCGUAAAGCUCUGUUGUAAGAGAAGAACGAGUGUGAGAGUGGAAAGUUCACACUGUGACGGUAUCUUACCAGAAAGGGACGGCUAACUACGUG
This 494-nucleotide ribosomal RNA is filed under the name uncultured bacterium. RNAcentral describes it as "partial 16S ribosomal RNA". It matches the Rfam family "Bacterial small subunit ribosomal RNA", at positions 29 to 507 of the family's 1533-position model. The record is from RNAcentral.